Long non-coding RNA from Orcinus orca (killer whale), 6033 nucleotides. RefSeq lists it as uncharacterized. The record is from RefSeq and is a predicted model, not a curated record. The transcript is spliced from 3 exons. Lineage: Eukaryota; Metazoa; Chordata; Mammalia; Artiodactyla; Delphinidae.
UCCUGGGCAGCACCAAGAGGACCUGCCUUGGAGCCAGGAGAUCCUACUGCGAGGCCCAUUUUUGUCCCUCACUAAGCAGUAGUACAGACCUGGCUACCCUCCUGAACCUUCCAUGCAUUGACGCACAGUGCCCUGGGCCACGCUGCGCCCAGUUUACAGGUGAGAACCAUGAACCAGAGAGCUGCAAUUUGCCCAACACAGAUGAAGCAGUUAAAAGCAGACUUUCCUGCUUGGCGGUGGGGAAAGGAAGGAAAUCGAGUUGCUCCGCUUCACCUUCUCCUGCUUCCUUGGUGUCUCUGGAAGGACCUCUGCAGAGUCCAAGGGUCUCCGAGACCAAGUUCAAGUCCACUGGAUGAAUGACCUCAAAGGGAGCUGGAACUGUGAUUUUCCAAGCCACUUUGCUCCUUCUGAUGGCUUGUCCAGGUGCCCAGCUCACGCCCCAAGCCUCCUGCUUCUUCCACACCUCACGGGCUCACCAUUAGGUACACGCAUUCACACAUGAAGGCUUGAGCCUCGUGCAUGUCCUCGCGCACGCGCGCGCGCGCACACACACGCAUCUUCCUGUAUUAAACACAAAGGUUUUCAUCACCACCGUAAACUUCAAAGGCUUGGAACUUGGAACCAACACCUUUCCAGCCUCUUAGUCCCAGACCCUUCGGGGGAGAGCAGCUUGUUCUCCUCAAUGUAAUUAGCACCACCACCACCCAGCCCCCCACCCCCUGGCGAUGGGGACUUAGAGGAACUGACGGGCCUCCUUAACCACUUACCAAGUGCAUCUUGAUAUCAAAAGAUUUGUAGCACGGAGUUCUAGCGCCUCCGCAAUAUCAGUCCCUGUAAUCGUUUCGGUUUGUCAAUUUUUUUCAAAACAUCAGAUACAAGUUUGAAAGGCGGGUGGGUCAUACACGUGAGCCCUGGCCCCUCCAGCCUGCUCUCCUCUGGCCUCUGCCCCAAGGCCAGCCCGGAACCCCUUCCCCUGCCCACGGACAGGGCAGGCAGUGAGUGACUGCAGGACGAGCUACUUGGGAAAGAUUACUGAGCCCUCAGGAAUCACAAAACAUCGUCCUUUUCCCAGGAAAGCAGACUUUGACUUGUUCGGCUACUUUUAUUGUGAGAUUUAGCACCGAUGUGCUUUGGUUUUGGGUGAUGGUUUAAUGCUGAAUUAAAGUGGCUCUCAGUUAAACACAGGCCACUUUAUGUCCCUGUGUCGCCUUGGGCAUGAAAGCACGAUGAGGCCCCCAGAGACUGAGGGUGCAGGUGGAAGGAUUAAAGGCAGGUGGGGCCCUGGGGUGUACCCUGGAGGCUGACUUGAAGACCAGACGCCUGGAGAAAACAGCGGGACCUGCCAGGAGGACCCGCCAACCCAGGAAGACCCAGGAAACGCUCAGAACAAUCCAGGCCUUUGGCUGCCUCCGCACUCGGUGGACUUCAUUCCGCAGGCGAGGCCUCGAAUCAUAAACGCGAACCACCCGGCAGCGUGUGAUCCCUGAGUAGGAGGCACAAGGCAGUGCCUGUGUCCUGGAAGAUGACGUACCUGGUUAUUUGUCAGACUUCAGUUCAACGAUGCACAGCUCCGAUCCCAGAUCAACGGUCUCCUCCCUGAACUGAAACUGCGGCCCAGCCCAGGACAGGCCUGGAGGAAUCUUGAUGAUUCACACAAGACCAAGACUGAGCAAACGUCAUUCUCAGAGCUGGCUCAGGCUCUGAGGCUGGAACGGCCUUCGGUGGGAGGUGAGAACGGGCCAGGACCCCUGGUUCCCACACAAGGAGCCCCCCCAUCCCCCCAGCUGAGAAGACCCUCUCCUGGCAACGAGUGUGACUAAGAAAGUAUUGCUUUUCCCGUGGUCAGUGGAAGUCGGAAAGUAGAGCAAAGCGUCGCCAUCCCCUCCCGGCCUUGAAAAGUAAGAAGCAGUAGAGGAGCUGGUCAAGGAUACGUGCGCGGUACAGACGCCACCGCUGUCCCCAGAUUCACGCCAGUCGGACAUUCGGCUUUGAGGGGAGAAGUCCGCUCUCCGCUGGAUCUGCCAGGCCUCAUCACCCUGACUGUGCUCGGGCCUCUCUAAGGAGCUGGGCCAGCAUCCCAUAAUAAAGAGCAAGUCGGACAAAAGUGCCAGGUAGCAGACGGCUUGCAGGGAGUUGGGAGGUAAGUCCAUCCUCCUGAGGCCCAGACAGCACGACUGUGUGCAUGGGGGCGGGGUGCACCUUUCUAGCAUCGCUGCAGGGCUGUGAAACUGGGGAGAAGCCACAGGUGGAGGUACAGAGGGUAAAGCAUCAGCAGCUGCUCCCAGGGGUCAACAAAGAGGUCACCCAUCCCCACAGAGCCACUCGGCAAACCUGCGAACAGUAAGGGGAGAUGACCACACAGUGGAUAAAGUGGGCACCUGGGCAAGAGCAUCUGAGGCACCCAUGGGGUUUGAACCACAGGGAAGGGCUUGAAGAGAGACACGGGUCCAAUCCUCCUGCAGGUGGAGGCAAGGCGGACCCUCCUGUACUCUGUUCAUUCAGCAAAUAUCUCCUGGGCGCGGGGGCCAUCCUACCGCAGAGGGCUUGGCAGGGGAAGAAAUCAGAAGCAGCCUUGCCUCUUGUGAAAAUUACAUGGGAAGAAACAGAAAGGAAGCAGGUCCACAGGCAAGAUCAAUGUAGAAGUAAAAGUUAUGAAGAAAAUAAAGGAGAAGAAUAAGACAGGAGAGGGAUGAGGUGGAGGAGGGUGGUUAAUUAGAAGUGGGCGGUUGGGGAAGGCUUGGCAAUGAAGCGAUAUUUGACUUUUGACUAAAGUGACAAGAGGGAGCGGCCGCUUGAAGGUCGGGGACAGAGUGUCCAGGCAGAUGGAGCAGCUCGUGCAAAGAUACCAAGGUGGAAAUCAGGAUGGGAGCGUUCAAGGAGCAGAAAGUAGGCCAGUGUGCUUGGAGCAGAGUGUUGUGGUGAUGUGGCCAAGAGGGCCACUGUAGGGAGUUUGGAUUCUACUGAAACCCAAAGAAAGCCCAUUAUAGCGUUUCAGCAGAAAAUGACAUCACUGAAGAAUACCACAAAAGGGGAGACCCAUUACGAGGCUGGGGCCGUGGUCUUGCCUGGAGAUGACGCGGCCUGGUGCAGAGGAUGUGUCGAGGUGAAGCUGAAAGAUGGGGUAUGAGGUGUGAGAGAAAGGGAGGAAUUAGAUGUGGCUCUGGGUUUGGUUCUGAACAACCGGACGGGUUUUUUUUAAGAGAUGGGGAGAUUGAGGGGAAGCAGGUUCAGAUGAGGACCAACGGCUCCACUUCGUCAUGUUAACUUUGAGGGUCUUUCCAAACAUCAAAUGCAGGGGCUCAGUUGGCAGGUGGAUCCCCAAGGAGCUUGGCAGGAGGGCUCUGCACCAGCAGGUGUGUCCCAACAUUUCCCGCAAUGGAGGAUACCUACUGCGUGUGAGUCCCCCGCCUCCCGAGUGGGUUUUCCAGGUGCCGAGUAAGAAGGUCUAAGACUGAGUUGGGGAGAACCGCGAAGAAAACAGCCACAGGCAGGGAGCUGUAGGAAUUGGAAGGUCUAGGUCCUGAGUUUUCAGCCUGCUGGUCAUCUGACCUUCAUGCAUUUGCUAGUUCUCACAUCCUUCAUCUGUAACGUGGAGACACGAGACAAUAGGAAUGAAAGUGCCUGAUACACGCUUGCCACAGAGUAACUGCUCAAUGAACAGGCAGUUGACCCAUAAAUAUUCCACUGGGAAGGUGUACUAUGCUCUGAGUGUUUGUGCCCCCGCCAAAUUCAUAUGUGGAAAUCCUAACCCCCAGGUGAUGGUAUUAGUCGGCAGGGCUUUUGGGAGGUGAUGAGUUCCGGAGGGAGGAUCCUCCAUCAGUGGGAUUAGCGACCUUGAAGAGAGUCCAGAGAGAGCCCAGGUCCUUUCCAUCCAGUGAUGGAGGACACAAGAAGUCUGCAACCUGGAAGAGGGCCCUCCCCCCGCCAGGACUCCCCGGGCCUCAGACUUCCUGACUCCAGGACUGUGAGCAAUAAGUUUCUGCUGUUAACAAGCCCCCCAGGGGGUGGCAUGUUGUUAUAGCAACAUGAUAACACUAAGACAAGGUGUUUGCAUUUUGCUGGGGGGAAAGGAAGUAGAUAAGUAAGUGUUAGGGCUGGUGAGUGGCUGUAUGGAAAUGGGGGGGUGGGAGAAAAAGAGGGAGAGAGAGAAGGAGAGAGAGAGGCCCGUGGCCACACCCAUUCUAGGAGGGCACAGGAAUGGAGCUGGUUGAAAAGACUAAGCAUCCCAAUCUAUAUCUUUCUCUAUAGCGCCCAGCAGGAGAGGCACAAAUUCUGUUUAACAGAAGCUGUAGUAGCACCCUUUCAGGGGGGAAGGCAACACCUUGGGUCAUCUGCUCUUCUAAGGAAGUAGCUGCAGCAGGCCCUCCCCUGCUGUGGGUCUGUUGAGGUCCUUAUUAACACUAUACUCUGUGAGGCCAACCCCGCUGUUCCCACCAGGAUCCCAGCAUCCUCCGUGCCUCUCACCUCCAGCCCAGGCAAUUCUACACCGGGUUCACUCCUGAUUCUCAACUCUACCACUGUGGUCCUCCAAGUGUGUUCCAUGGAUCCAUUUGAGGGGAGGGCGUCCCCAAUACCCUUUCAGGAAGCCUGGGUGGUCACAACUAUUCUCGUAGCGCCAGACACGGUUUGCCACUUUCACCGUGUCAGCUAUUUGCACUGAGCUCAGAGCACUGGUGGCUGACAUCACCAGCCCCUUAGCAAGAAUCAAGGCUCCUGUACCAGCAGCCAUUAUAGCCUGCACCACCACAUGGUCUCAAGUUUUUAAAAAGCCAGCUUCAUUUAAGAACGUUCUUGCAGAAGUAGUAAAAUUAUUAUUUCAACCCUUGCGUGCACAUCCUUAAUACUCUGCUGCGUAGUCUAGUAUGAUUUGUUGUAAGAAAAGCACUUGUGUGCAUACGUAAGUCACAAGGUAAGCUUUUUUCAUGGAACACCAGUUUUUGGGGAAAAAACAGCUGAUAGACAAACUGCGGUUACUCAGACUUGGUAUUUGGCAUUUUCUCAAAAAGCGAUGAAGUGAGCCUAGCACUUCAAGGAAAAUAACUGACAGUAUUUGUUGCAAUAAUAAAAUUUCAGCAUCCAAAUGAAAAUUAGAACUUUCUAGAUUUUGUAUUUGCCACUGUGAGCUUGAGACUUCCCAAUACUUAAAGACUUUUCUAAUGGGAUUGGUGGUAAUAUUAAUGAAUGUGAUUUUUUAAAAUUAUACAUACGAUGAUUCAACAUGCAGAAGAUCUGCAGAACUCAGUGUUUUCCAAAUGACCAAUGCAUAGCAUCACAGAAUCAUGCGUGAGUAAAAGAUCCAUUCAAAGCACAGGAGUGAGCAAUGGAUUUUAAUGGAACAGGAUGAAAAGUUCGUUGGCAUGGUUUCAGAGUUCACACUACAACCAACCUUUAAGAAGCUACCGCCUGUCAAAUUUUGAUAUGGUACCAAAGAAGAAUAACCACAGUUACCUGAAAGGGUCAUUAAAUGCUCUCUCCUUUGCCAGCUGUGCAUAGCUGUGUGAAGCCGGAUUAUCAUGCACUUCACAUCAAAACAUCUUCCCACAGAUCAAGUGCAGAAGCAGACAUGCUUUCAUAAAUCCAGGUAUUAAAGAGAUUUGCAAAAUUAUGUUUUUAGGUACCACUCUUAUUUUUUAUACAGUGUUAUUAAUUUUUUUAUAAAACUACGUUAUUUGUGUUGACAUGUAAUGGGUUUUUUAUUUGUUUUUUAAAAGUUAUAAAUACAUAAAAAUAUAUUUAAAUAUUUUAAAAUUUUAUUCGUUUUAAUUUCAAACCCAGUAAAUAUUGACAUUUUAAAAAGCUAUUUAGAGUCCCCAGUAAUUUUGAAAUGUUUAAAUGGGUCCUAAGACCACAAGUAUAUGCUGGAGGGAAAGGAGUCAGUGCACUGAGAGGCCGCAGGGGGAGAAUACAGAAGCCUAGCAAAUUAAAAACAUUCCCUCUGUCAUAGUUUCCUAACCAGCGAGUUGCAACAAUUUAGUUGUCACAGCCCUGUGCCUUGUGAGUCAUGAGCAGCUCUGUUUAAAACCCUUACUGAGC